RNAcentral lists this ribosomal RNA (377 nucleotides) under uncultured bacterium. RNAcentral's name for it is "partial 16S ribosomal RNA". It matches the Rfam family "Bacterial small subunit ribosomal RNA", at positions 338 to 732 of the family's 1533-position model. The record is from RNAcentral.
CCUACGGGUGGCAGCAGUGGGGAAUAUUGCACAAUGGGGGAAACCCUGAUGCAGCGACGCAGCGUGAAUGAUGAAGUAUUUCGGUAUGUAAAGCUCUAUCAGCAGGGAAGAAAAUUACGGUACCGAACUAAGAAGCGCCGGCUAACUACGUGCCAGCAGCCGCUGUAAUACGUAGGGGGCAAGCGGUAUCCGGAUUUACUGUGUGUAAAGGGAGCGGAGACGGGUAAUCAAGUCAGAAGUGAAAACCCAGGGCUUAACCUCGGGCCUGCUUUUGAAACUGAGUAGCUAGAGUGCAGGAGAGGUAAGCGGAAUUCCUAGUGUAGCGGUGAAAUGCGUAGAUAUUAGGAGGAACACCAGAGGCGAAGGCGGCUUACUGG